UAUUAACUCUGGCGGCGUGCAUAACACAUGCAAGUCGAACGAUGAAACUUAACUGAUUUCUUCGGAAUGAUUUUAAGUGGAUUAGUGGCGGACGGGUGAGUAACGCGUGAGUAACCUGCCUUGGAGAAGGGGAUAGCCUUUGGAAACGAAGAAUAAUACCCUAUGAUAUGAUAAUAUCUCAUGAUAUUAUCAUCAAAGAUUUAUCGCUCUAAGAUGGACUUGCGUCUGAUUAGUUAGUUGGUGAGGUAACAGCUCACCAAGGCAGCGAUCAGUAGCCGGCUUGAGAGAGUGUACGGCCACAUUGGGACUGAGACACGGCCCAGACUCCUACGGGAGGCAGCAGUGGGGAAUUUUGCACAAUGGGGGAAACCCUGAUGCAGCGACGCCGCGUGAUUUAGAAGGCCUUCGGGUUGUAAAAAUCUUUUGUAUGGGAAGAAAAUGACAGUACCAUACGAAUAAGGACCGGCUAAUUACGUG
RNAcentral lists this ribosomal RNA (477 nucleotides) under uncultured bacterium. RNAcentral describes it as "partial 16S ribosomal RNA". It matches the Rfam family "Bacterial small subunit ribosomal RNA", at positions 29 to 507 of the family's 1533-position model. The record is from RNAcentral.